This is a long non-coding RNA of Rosa rugosa (rugosa rose), 794 nucleotides long. RefSeq lists it as uncharacterized. The transcript is spliced from 6 exons. The record is from RefSeq and is a predicted model, not a curated record. NCBI's taxonomy places the organism in Eukaryota, Viridiplantae, Streptophyta, Magnoliopsida, Rosales, Rosaceae.
CUCUCUUACCAACCAGAAACUCGGUACCUCAUAGCAUCUGGAGGAAAACUUAGCCAUCUAUACCUCUCAAAAAUCGGCCAUCUCUCAAAUCUUAUCUCUCCUUACCCAAAACUAAUCUCUCCUUCAACCCCGACAUCCUUACUGUUUGCAUUCAAGUCCGGCUUAAUGGAGUUCUCCACCAGCGACUCAAGAGAUUAGAAGAAGCUGGACUAUUCUAUUUUCGAUUGGGUUAUUGAUUUCUCUCCUAAUCUCCUUGACAAAUCGAUGAUCGACGACGGUUGCAUGACGGGCAGCGACACAUCUCUUCUCUCGGUCUCUCCUCGAAUGACGGUCUUCAUCUCUCUCUCCACAUCACUCGAUAUCUCAGUCUUUAAUUCAAAAUUUUGAUCAGUUUACUAGGAAACAAAGGAAAUGCAGUUUUGGAGAAGGAAAACCUAGAAGCGAGGGAUUUAGCCACAAGGGAGGUGAUACCCACAAUGGCAAUCGUUUGAAUACGAGAUAUCCAGCCUUUACAGACUGACCUACAAAUCAAAGGGCGAGUCUGCAGGGUGUGGAGAGUGAAGAAAUACAGACCUGUUCCUAGAAACAAUGGUCUUCAGUUUGUUUUAGUUAAUGAAAAGAACGAGGCAAUCCAAGGAUCUUUUCUAGAAGCAUACUACACCACAAUAAGGACUGGUCCGAUUGCAGCUGUCUCCGAAUAUUGUCUGGGUUUUCUUUAAAGCUCUGAUCUGUGGAUGGAAGUUGAGGGUUUCGGGGUUGUGUGUUUUUGAUUGUGUUGUUUUUUGGUCAAAUUA